CCUCAACGGAAGCUGAGAACCUUGCUCACUCAUUGGACACAGCGCAUUUCCAUCCAUUUUCAUUUCUCAGCAAAUAAGCUUACAGCUUGUAAGAAGGGAAGUUGCCAUUUGUUGACCCCUCGAGGCUCCACCCCUGUUGCUGACCUUGUCUGCCGCCAUUUUAGUGGCAGCCUUGGUGGGUCCCACCUUGCGCAGCCUUCCUGUCCCAGGGCCUCCACAGCCACUAGCACAGACUGUUUGGCUCAUGUUCAGCUGCCUUCUCUGCCGCCCCCGCCACUUUGGGGUAGGGCCGGCUGCCAGCAGCCUCCCUCUCCUCAGUGGCAGCGACCUUGGUGGCCGCCAUAUUUGCUGCCUUUGUCGCUGCAGCCCCAUUUGCCGCUCCAGUUGAGGUCCUGACUGGUGAGUCCCUCCUGCUAUGUCUGCCUCCAAAAAGCAAGACCAGGACCAACAUAACCAGAGACAACCUGGUUAUGAGGCAGCCCUGGACCCCGGAGCUGUAGGGGGUAUUUUGGCGUCUCAAGAAUGGGUAGUUGAUGUUGAGGCAGAAGUAGUCCCUGAGGAUUUUCAGGAGGCUAUAGAAGACAUUUUUGAGGAGGAGGAGGUUGAGCUGGAUCAGGUCUGGGACCCCAUCGAGAACUGGUUUUUUCCCCUAUUAGAAGAGGACGAGGAGCUGGGAGAGGAGGAAGAAGAGGAGGAGGGGCAGGAACUUGAGGUGCAGGAGGAGAAGGAAAAGGAGGAGGAGGAGGAGAGUGAAAAGGAGGAGGAGGAGAGUGAAAAGGAGGAGGAGGGUGAUGAGGAGGGAGAAGAAGAAAGAGGAGGAAGUUUUUGAAGGAAAGGAGGAGGAUUAUGAAGGAGAUGAGGAAGACAAUGAAGGAGAGCACGAAGACUAUGAAGGAGAGGAGGAGGACUAUGAAGAAGACGAAGAGGAUGAAUUCAAAGAGGGGGACAAGGAGGAGGCUGAGGACGAGGUCAAGGAGCAGAAGGAAGAGGACAACAAAGAGGAUGCUGAAGUUGCUUCUGGCGCCUGUUCUCCUGAGCAUAGAGUGCAGGAUAUUGCUACUCAGUGUAAACAGGAAUAUUUUUUCCGAGAAAGUAUCCCAAUGUCUGUAUUAUGCUUCUCUGAAGAAGUCGCUGAAUAUAAGUAUGAAAAUUCUGAUGAAGAGGAUCAAGAAACUGGAGGCAAGAAGGAGAACGAAGAGGAUGAAAAUGAAGAACUGGGUGAAGGACUCAGAAAGGAUCUAGACUCAGCAGAGGACAGCCCCAUCAAAAAAUCCAGGUAUUCAUCUAUAGUCUUGAGUAUUAGCUAACUAUUUCUGACAUACACCUCUUACUAAUAGCUUUAUGUUUUUAAUUUUUCUGUCAGCUAAAUAAGCAAAAUAUUGGUAAAAUUUGAGAAAGUUUAAUGUUAAUAAUGUAUUUGCAUAUUAGAUAAAUAGAAGGCAAUAUAUUCUGAAAUGCACUUCAUUCAUAGCUACAAUUCCUUUAUCCUGUACCUAUAAGAUUGCUACAGAUGGGAAACCUAUUAGGCCCAGUAGUGGAGAUCAAUACUUGUUCAGAGAAAGGUCAUAAGAAUAAGCAGCAGCAAAGUGGCUG
Callithrix jacchus (white-tufted-ear marmoset) is the source of this 1593-nucleotide long non-coding RNA. Lineage: Eukaryota; Metazoa; Chordata; Mammalia; Primates; Cebidae. The record is from Ensembl.